GGGGCAGUAGCUCAGACGGUAGAGCAGUGAUCACUUUCCGCUUUUUGGCAAAUAAAGUUCCUAUUUUACGUGUCACAGGUUCGAUUUCUGUCUGCUCCA
RNAcentral lists this transfer RNA (99 nucleotides) under Chryseobacterium endalhagicum. Its description in RNAcentral is "tRNA-OTHER". It matches the Rfam family "tRNA". Rfam says of the family: Transfer RNA (tRNA) molecules are approximately 80 nucleotides in length. Their secondary structure includes four short double-helical elements and three loops (D, anti-codon, and T loops). The record is from RNAcentral. Lineage: Bacteria; Pseudomonadati; Bacteroidota; Flavobacteriia; Flavobacteriales; Weeksellaceae.